Molecule: ribosomal RNA, 254 nt
Filed under: uncultured bacterium
Lineage: Bacteria
Description: partial 16S ribosomal RNA
Rfam family: Bacterial small subunit ribosomal RNA
Source: RNAcentral
CACGUAGGGGGCAAGCGUUGUCCGGAUUUAUUGGGCGUAAAGAGCUCGUAGGCGGUUCGAUAAGUCGGGUGUGAAACCUCCAGGCUCAACCUGGAGACGCCACCCGAUACUGUUGUGACUAGAGUCCGGUAGGGGAGCGUGGAAUUCCUGGUGUAGCGGUGAAAUGCGCAGAUAUCAGGAGGAACACCAGCGGCGAAGGCGGCGCUCUGGGCCGGAACUGACGCUGAGGAGCGAAAGCGUGGGUAGCAAACAGG